AAGUAGCCAGCUCCCUGGAAACACAACAUACCUCAAGGCUGUGAAGACUGUGCGCUAGCUUCGAACAAAGCCUACUAAAAAGCUUUGUGUUGGAAGAUGUGUAUUUCCAAAGAAAGAUACCUCUCACAGCUCAUGUAUUGCCUUAAGCUGCCUCAAAAAAUCCUUCGAAGACUUGCGGAAUCGAUUCAUUAGUUCUUUUAUACUUCAUGAAACAGGAUGAAGUAUUUAUCACUGGACGAACUGGUCAAAGACUGGACGAACUACAUUGAACGAAAAUUGCUUCAUACUGAAUUUUCGAGUAUUAGUUUGCUAAAUAAAUAAUUUUUC
Molecule: long non-coding RNA, 327 nt
Organism: Stegodyphus dumicola
Lineage: Eukaryota; Metazoa; Arthropoda; Arachnida; Araneae; Eresidae
Source: RefSeq, a predicted model, not a curated record